GGCUGUGGAACAAAAGAAAUGUAUUUAUUGGUGCAACUUUCUAUUUUGAACAUUAUCUUCUUCAUCACAUUGCUAUUCUGAAUUUGUGUGUGCAAUGGAUUGAGGAAGACAAAUAGAGUACUCAACUGCAUAAUCUGAGGUUACUUCAAUACAGAGAACAGACUGUACUCCAUGCAAACAUGUGAUCCCGCGCUGCACAAAGUGCUAUCAUGAGACGUUGAGUGGGGGGAACGUUCUCAUUACGUACACUCAGACUCACUGUGGGGAGCGUACUGCCGCCGCCGCGCUUUGUGGUCAUGUGGUCUGUCUUCCGGGAGGAAGAUUUUGAGAAGCUGAACCAGAGAUAUUCCACAGUUUACGAAAAUGCUUACAGGUCUGGCACAGCAGGUGCAGCUGAGAGAUUUGAACCCAUGGCUUCAACGUUCAAGCUACAGGAGUUGUCAGUUUUGAGUCUGCAGUUUGUCACGUCAGCAUAUAGGACCUAUUGAAAAAGUUAUGUAGCUGCAACCAGGCCAUGUGACCUUCAGGACAGGAGGUAAAUAGAUACCAGGAGGAUAAUUUCUUUGAUAUGCAGGUUUGUACUUUAAAAAUGUGUAUGUUUUGACGUGAGCCACUGUGAAAUAAUCCUGGUCAGCAAUUGGAACGUGGAUAACUGAAUGUCUGGGUUGAAAAGGUUGGGGGAAAAGACAAAAGUGACAAAAGAUAUCUUCCAGACUUGUGGAAAAAGCUUGUACUAGAAGCUAGCAGAUGAGUGGUUAUACAAAAGUUGAAUACAGAUAAACUGGAGCAGUUGUGAACUCCUCAACUCUUUGGCUGUCCAACAACAAAAUGCAGGUCCCAGACGGCAGGUUUGUAUUACAGGCAGGGCUGGGGUAAGAGGAGUGAUGAGAACACUGGCUUGGAGUUGCCAGACCUGUCAGACCUGUUCAUCGCUCAUUGAAGAUCCUGCCUGCAUGAGUGUUUUUGAAUUCUGAAUUCCACAUUCCUUUAGAAGCUCAACAGUGGGCUGGAUAGACCAGCAUGGUAAUUGCUCUGUUUGUUCACAGUGUAAUUUUACUUGUGUUAGUUUCGUGUCACCAUUGAAGAUUUCAACCCUGUAUUUCCCCAACACUUUUUAAUGAAAAAUACCAGUAUGUUUAUAUGACAUAGUUAAUUGCACGGAAACUAAAAAGAUCUGGCUUCCAACACUAAUUUGCAACUAUGCAAGUGCAACUAGCAGUGCUGUGUGAUGUACUGCCGUUAUGGACUCUGUUCCCCGCAGGUAAGGUGAGGUUAAAAGCUCUAUAACCACAAAUGCAGACGAGCCAAACUCGUUUGCAUAAUACAGUAGUUAAGAUGCUUGCAGUGUGCGUAGUUAUGAAAACUUGUUAAUGUACUGUGUCCAAUUUCUGAUUUAAAAAAAACACAUUUUAUUAAAAGUUGAGAAUAUACAUUAGGACUGGAACACUUUUACAGUGCUGACAUAAUUUGGGACCAGUGUAAAAUUUUUAAUAACACUGAUGAUUUUAAAUACACAUUUCACAUGUGUACUUUUAUUUUCAAAUAUAUUUGUAAUAGCAGGGGAGAGAGUUUAACAUGUACAAGACUAGGAAGAUUCAAAUAAUGGCUGUAUCAUUACUGAAUGGUAUGUGCAAUGACACAGCCCCUGGACUAUAACUAUCGUAUGCCAUAUCCCAGUGUUCCCUCUCAGCUGUAUUCACCCGGACUGCCCACAAAGUGGCUUCUGUUUGUAAUAUGAGUGCUUAACCUAGACACCAGGCAAUCUGAACACAGUCUGUCUCUAGCAUUAUUAAUCUAAACUGCAGUGGAUCCUAACUCUUUCAACAAUGCUAACUGUAGAUUUCUAUUUUAGCUUUGUAGCUUUCGACAGAAGUGUAUUAGCAAGGUGACAGUUGGAAAUAGAAGACAAAGAAGAACAUUCCUCAUUUCCACUACGUUCUCAAAAGUUAGUCUUUAUAUGUGUAUAUGUAUAUUUUAGCAGAUCCUAAUCAAAUUCAACAUCACAAAAAAAAAAAAAACUUUUUCAUACACACAUCUUGUAUGUAGACCAGCACGGCUAUUGAUAUGUUUUUGUAAUAUUGAAAGAUAACUCCACUCAAAACCACCAGUACGUAGUUCAUGCAAUCCAGGGGAAUUCUCCAGUGCUGUAAAAUGCUCCAAUAAAGGUCAGCUGUAGGACCAGGUUGUGCAUAGGUCUACAAUGUCAGUGUGGUUAUAUGUAUUGUAACACCUCUGUUGGUGGCUGUGAACAGCCAGAUAGGAAGAUUGCAUCAACAGAGCUGAUAAGAGUGAAUGUGUGUGUGGGUGGGUGUAGAAUAUUUUCCAUGUGCUCAAGCCUACUGUGUGAUAGUGAAAUCCAGCCAUCUUUGCAAAAAAACAAAAAAAAAAAAAAAACAUUUUAACCUGUUAAAUACUACCAAGAAACAACUUUGUGGCAGGUAUUGAAGUUCUGAGUAGACUUUUAAAAUGGUUUAAGACAGUUUUAGCUAAUUGUACAGUGAAUUUGCUUCACAUUAGAGCACAAAGGCUUGUUCUUCUUCACUGUUAUUGGAAAUUAGCAUUAGGUGAUCACUAACAAGGGUUUUUUUCCCCCAUAAAAAUGGAAGCAACAAAAUUAAAAAAAAAUCAUGAUAAACCCCCCCCCCC
Polyodon spathula (Mississippi paddlefish) is the source of this 2646-nucleotide long non-coding RNA. RefSeq lists it as uncharacterized. The record is from RefSeq and is a predicted model, not a curated record. The transcript is spliced from 3 exons. Lineage: Eukaryota; Metazoa; Chordata; Actinopteri; Acipenseriformes; Polyodontidae.